RNAcentral lists this ribosomal RNA (334 nucleotides) under uncultured Acidovorax sp. Its description in RNAcentral is "bacterial SSU rRNA". It matches the Rfam family "Bacterial small subunit ribosomal RNA", at positions 1045 to 1382 of the family's 1533-position model. Lineage: Bacteria; Pseudomonadati; Pseudomonadota; Betaproteobacteria; Burkholderiales; Comamonadaceae. The record is from RNAcentral.
UAGGCUGUCGUCAGCUCGUGUCGUGAGAUGUUGGGUUAAGUCCGCAACGAGCGCAACCCUUGUCAUUAGUUGCUACAUUCAGUUGGGCACUCUAAUGAGACUGCCGGUGACAAACCGGAGGAAGGUGGGGAUGACGUCAAGUCCUCAUGGCCCUUAUAGGUGGGGCUACACACGUCAUACAAUGGAUGGUACAAAGGGUCGCCAACCCGCGAGGGGGAGCCAAUCCCAUAAAGCCAUUCGUAGUCCGGAUCGCAGUCUGCAACUCGACUGCGUGAAGUCGGAAUCGCUAGUAAUCGUGGAUCAGAAUGUCACGGUGAAUACGUUCCCGGGUCUU